Long non-coding RNA from Cyclopterus lumpus (lumpfish), 624 nucleotides. RefSeq lists it as uncharacterized. The transcript is spliced from 3 exons. Lineage: Eukaryota; Metazoa; Chordata; Actinopteri; Perciformes; Cyclopteridae. The record is from RefSeq and is a predicted model, not a curated record.
GACCUUUACUCAAAGAAGCUUUUCCUUCGUUCCGCAAUAUCCGUGUGAUUUCAUUCAGUAAUGGAUCAAUCAUCCAAAACUCACUCAUUGGAUUUUCAUCAACAUCUGCUCCUAAUGGCACUGAGAUUCGAAAAGUUUUGGUCGCAGCAGCUUCAAGCAUCACAGCCUUCAACAUUGACAUCAACUCCAUUUCUGUGGAUGGCACACAGGUUUCAAGUGGAGUAAGCCACAACAUCAGUCUCAUCACUGCAUCCUUCCUUGUGCUGAUGUCAUGGAUCCUGUCAAGCCAGCAAUAGCAUCAUUGCUGAUUACUGUUUGAAUUUGCAUUAUUGCAUGACUGCCAUCACUAGCAUGAAAAAUGACUUCUUGAUUCUUGUCAAAGAAGUCUUGUACAGCGUCAGAUAUACUUACUAUCACAUUUCAUUUUGCAAUUACUGCACAUAUUUAAGACAGUGGAUUAGGUUUAUGUCAAUCUUAACACGUUUCUAGGUUUCACUUUAUUCCAUAUCAUUACAUUACAUUGCAUAGAAAUAUCAGAGAGCAUAUUGUAAAGGGAACAUGUGUCUAAAGUUAAUUAAAGGAACAACACUGCAGGUCAUCAUGAGUCGUGGAACCAACCGUGAA